Molecule: long non-coding RNA, 674 nt
Organism: Lolium rigidum
Lineage: Eukaryota; Viridiplantae; Streptophyta; Magnoliopsida; Poales; Poaceae
Exons: 3
Source: RefSeq, a predicted model, not a curated record
CCGGCGCCUAGGUCUGCAGCCCCUACCUACACGAGAUGCUGCUCGUAGCUGCUACCGGCGACCACGUUCUCGAGCUCCUGCUGCCGGCCACAACUCCGUGCUGCUGAUGCCAACCAUCUCCAGCUCAAGCUGCUGCUGCCGGAGAAGUGGAUGGUUCGGACAGUUUGGUGGGAAACUUCUCAAGCGCCGGUCCAGGAGCACCUUCUUCUGUUCUGUGAACCGACUUCAUCGUAAGGUCAUGUUCCUGUUCUGAUGCCCUUUUUGUGCACCUAGGAUUCUGGUCUCGUGUACAUUUGUAGCUGCAUCUUUUAUUAGGUACAAGAAGUCAAUUUGAUCUCAUUUUAUGUGGCAGGGCAGAUGGUCUCGGAAAUGGCUGCGGCUGAGCAUGUGAAGUUGGAGCCAAGGAGAUUGUAGGCGUAGCUGUAAGUUGUUGAUAUGCUGCUGCUGCUGUCGGCGUCCAGCACGCCCUGCUGCCCCUGCCUUCUUCGAUUGGGAUGUCUCCUACAGUACUGGGUCACCCUGAAGUGGAGUGUGCCGCCUGGAUGCACUGGGAGGGGCAGAUCUGCAGCCUAUAUAUGCCUGGGUUUCUUGCAACGUCCAGUUGUAGUCUUCUGGCAUGAUUCUUGUAUCCAAAGUAGGAAAAGGCUUUAAAAGUUGCUCAAUUUGCUGCUGUA